UUACCGGCUUGAACCGAUAGAGAUUGAAUAAGAGGUGCUGCAUGGCUGUCGUCAGCUCGUGUCGUGAGAUGUUGGGUUAAGUCCCGCAACGAGCGCAACCCUAUCUUAGUUGCCAGCGUACGGGACUCUAAGAGACUGCCCGGGUUAACGGGAGGAAGGUGGGGAUGACGUCAAGUCCUCAUGGCCCUUAUGCCGGGCUACACACGUGCUACAAUGGGUACAAGCGGCACAGUGAUGGGUGCAAUCGCAAAACGUCUCAGUUCGGAUCGCAGUCUGCAACUCGACUGCGUGAAGUUGGAAUCGCUAGUAAUCGCGAACAGAUGCGCGGUGAAUACGUUCCCGGGCCUUGUACACACCGCCCGUCACACCAUGGAAGUUGAAGGCUGAA
This 388-nucleotide ribosomal RNA is filed under the name uncultured bacterium. RNAcentral's name for it is "bacterial SSU rRNA". It matches the Rfam family "Bacterial small subunit ribosomal RNA", at positions 971 to 1425 of the family's 1533-position model. The record is from RNAcentral.